CAAAUUAAGGUCACCCGGACUCCUCCAAACUUCAAUUGAGUCAAAGUAAAUCAUGAUGAAGAUUACAUUCAUGAUUCUAACAAAGCUGGUUGUGGUGUGCUUUUCAGUGAUUAUAAAGGUGAUUUAAUUGUUGGGAUUUAUGUGUCUUUAUCUAGGUCUUCUUCCUUUCUUGUUGAAUUUUUUGUUGUUCUUAAGACUAUUAAAAUUGCCUCAUUUUACAAUUGGCAAAAUCUUUAGUUGGAGUCGGAUUUUUUUGUGGUCAAAACUUUUGGGGUUGCUGCUCUUGUUCCAUGACAACUUAAACUUAGAUGGGAGACUUAUAGAGAGUAUACCUCUUCCAUCUCUUUUUUUUUCUCUCAUGGGAAUGUAAUAGUUGUGCAUACUCUUUUACUAAUUUAA
Molecule: long non-coding RNA, 399 nt
Filed under: Lathyrus oleraceus (garden pea)
Lineage: Eukaryota; Viridiplantae; Streptophyta; Magnoliopsida; Fabales; Fabaceae
Description: Pisum sativum (pea) long non-coding RNA (PSAT_LNC009283)
Source: RNAcentral